UGCUGCUGGUGGUCUCCGUGCCGGCGAAGAAGAGGGAGAGCAGCGUGCAGACGAGGUUCCGAUGGUGGAAUUCGCUGUUGGGGUCGGACUUCUCCUGAAUCCGAGCGGGCCGGGCAGGCGCCCAGAGACUCCACAGGCGGUGGCAGAAGAGUAUGAAAUUCUAUACCCACGGCUUGCGCCCAGACGCCUCCGCGUGGGCACCCCCCCCCCCCCUCCGGGGCCCGUGCCCACACACUUGAACUGAGCAGGGACGCCUCUGACCAUCUGACCACCAGCUACCAUGCUUCACCUCCAUGCACCUCCCUCGCCAACCUUCAUACACCCCACCCCUGGAGCCUGAAAGGAUGCCCUCACUCCUUCUGGGGAGUGAUCCCCAGGUCCAGGGGCAGUGAGUCACCCUCAGACCCCAUGCAUCGGCAUCUCACCCUCAGGAAGGAUUUGAGUAAGCCUCUUCUGUCCAUCUGCAGAAUAUUCCCCAAGAAGGCCAGAGGACGGGGGCCUGGUGGGAGGUGGCCAUGGGCCUUCGGGUGGCCCCUGGCCAGCAGAAGCAGGAGUCCCGUGAGGACAGCAAGAAGGAGAACGACACUGAGCUCCAUGGCCCGGCCCAACUGUCUUUGUCCCAACUUCAGCCUUGAUUGAGCUGGGCCUUUUAUCCUGAGCUGACUACCCCACCCAGUUAUGUAACUGCAUUCACUCCCCGCCUCCCCUCUCAUCACGUCCAAGAGUGUGAACUUAAAAGGGUGGUGUGUUUUUCAAGUAUGGGACGUCCCAUUCUUCCGGCUCACACAACCCUGUACAUGUUGGCAGAGACCAGGCGGUAGCGAUUCCAAAGCCCACGAGAGUGCAUGUGCCCGGUGCUCA
This is a long non-coding RNA of Herpailurus yagouaroundi (jaguarundi), 861 nucleotides long. RefSeq lists it as uncharacterized. The record is from RefSeq and is a predicted model, not a curated record. The transcript has 2 exons. NCBI's taxonomy places the organism in Eukaryota, Metazoa, Chordata, Mammalia, Carnivora, Felidae.